RNAcentral lists this unclassified non-coding RNA (411 nucleotides) under Hevea brasiliensis (rubber tree). The record is from RNAcentral. Lineage: Eukaryota; Viridiplantae; Streptophyta; Magnoliopsida; Malpighiales; Euphorbiaceae.
AGGCACAGGCCUUUAAUGUGGAAAAUAGAAGGAUAGAAAAGAAGUGUACAGUAAAUGCCAUCAUUUCCAAGAAACAUAAUGCCUAAUAAUAUAAAAUUUCAAGAACACGCAUAGCUAUGCCCAAAAAUAUUAAAUAAAAUAAAGAUGCACCUUUGCAAUUGUGUAUUCUGAAAUAAUUUUAGCAACUAUAUUCUUGUGAAUUUGAGUGAUGUAGACAUACAAAUGGAAAGUGAAAGUUCAAAGUGCCUGGUGUUGUAGGAUUCAUCAAAUCAAACCUAACCAUUUUUCUCUCUUGUGCUAGUAACAUCUUCCAAGUUUACAAUGCCAUUCAGCAUACAAAGAGUGGAAUAAAGCAAACAGGUAAUCAAGUUACUCAUAAAAAGCAAUGUAUGUAAAGAAAGAAAACCUUGU